This 322-nucleotide ribosomal RNA is filed under the name Stemphylium sp. SW283. RNAcentral's name for it is "LSU rRNA". It matches the Rfam family "Eukaryotic large subunit ribosomal RNA", at positions 331 to 670 of the family's 3401-position model. Lineage: Eukaryota; Fungi; Ascomycota; Dothideomycetes; Pleosporales; Pleosporaceae. The record is from RNAcentral.
AGACCGAUAGCGAACAAGUAGAGUGAUCGAAAGAUGAAAAGCACUUUGGAAAGAGAGUCAAACAGCACGUGAAAUUGUUAAAAGGGAAGCGCUUGCAGCCAGACUUGCUUACAGUUGCUCAUCCGGGCUUUUGCCCGGUGCACUCUUCUGUAGGCAGGCCAGCAUCAGUUUGGGCGGUAGGAUAAAGGUCUCUGUCACGUACCUCCUUUCGGGGAGGCCUUAUAGGGGAGACGACAUACUACCAGCCUGGACUGAGGUCCGCGCAUCUGCUAGGAUGCUGGCGUAAUGGCUGUAAGCGGCCCGUCUUGAAACACGGACCAAG